UGGGAUUCUGACCCGAACCGGACAGUCCGAACCGAACCGAACCGAAAAUUAUGAAAUUCGGUUAUCGUUCGGUUAUUGAGAGCAAACCGAUCGGAAUGAUUUUACAAAAUGUUCGGUUAGUGCAUCGGUUCGGUUCGGUUCAUGAUAUCCGAUCGGUUAACCGAUAUUUAACCUAGGUAUAUAUAUGUAUCUUAUUAACCUAAACAAACCUAAUCUCUCUUUUCGUCCUCAAACUCGAGCGGCAGCUUCGUCGGAUUCUCAACCCUAGCAACUCGUCUUCUUCGUCUGAUUCUUCCAUCUUUUCGACCACUCUCUGUUCUGUGUAGAUCUGUAAAUUACAAGAGAAUCUCAUCAUUAGAGUUAAAGGUAAUAAUGUCAAUCUAUCUCAAUUGUUUUGUGUC
Molecule: long non-coding RNA, 401 nt
Organism: Raphanus sativus (radish)
Lineage: Eukaryota; Viridiplantae; Streptophyta; Magnoliopsida; Brassicales; Brassicaceae
Exons: 2
Source: RefSeq, a predicted model, not a curated record